GAUGAACGCUAGCGGCAGGCCUAAUACAUGCAAGUCGAACGAUACUUUCCAGCUUGCUGGAGAGGAAAGUGGCGCACGGGUGCGUAACGCGUAUGCAACCUACCUUAAUCAGGGGAUAGCCCGAAGAAAUUCGGAUUAACACCGCAUAAAAACACAGGAUAGCAUUAUCCAAUGUUCAAAUAUUUAUGGGAUUAAGAUGG
RNAcentral lists this ribosomal RNA (200 nucleotides) under uncultured bacterium. Its description in RNAcentral is "partial 16S ribosomal RNA". It matches the Rfam family "Bacterial small subunit ribosomal RNA", at positions 28 to 228 of the family's 1533-position model. The record is from RNAcentral.